GGUCCUGUAGCUCAGCUGGAUAGAGUACUUGCCUCCGAAGCAAGGGGUCACAGGUUCGAAUCCUGUCAGGACCGCCA
This 77-nucleotide transfer RNA is filed under the name Roseovarius gahaiensis. Its description in RNAcentral is "tRNA-Arg". It matches the Rfam family "tRNA". From Rfam's summary of the family: Transfer RNA (tRNA) molecules are approximately 80 nucleotides in length. Their secondary structure includes four short double-helical elements and three loops (D, anti-codon, and T loops). The record is from RNAcentral. Lineage: Bacteria; Pseudomonadati; Pseudomonadota; Alphaproteobacteria; Rhodobacterales; Roseobacteraceae.